This 2913-nucleotide ribosomal RNA is filed under the name Staphylococcus haemolyticus. Its description in RNAcentral is "partial 23S ribosomal RNA". It matches the Rfam family "Bacterial large subunit ribosomal RNA". Lineage: Bacteria; Bacillati; Bacillota; Bacilli; Caryophanales; Staphylococcaceae. The record is from RNAcentral.
AAGGGCGCACGGUGGAUGCCUUGGCACUAGAAGCCGACGAAGGACGUUACUAACGACGAUAUGCUUUGGGUAGCUGUAAGUAAGCGUUGAUCCAGAGAUUUCCGAAUGGGGGAACCCAGCACGAGUUAUGUCGUGUUAUCGACAAGUGAAUUCAUAGCUUGUCAGAAGGCAGACCCGGAGAACUGAAACAUCUUAGUACCCGGAGGAAGAGAAAGAAAAAUCGAUUCCCUGAGUAGCGGCGAGCGAAACGGGAAGAGCCCAAACCAAUAAGCUUGCUUAUUGGGGUUGUAGGACACUCUAUACGGAGUUACAAAGGAAUAUAUUAGACGAAUCAUCUGGAAAGUUGAAUCAAAGAAGGUAAUAAUCCUGUAGUUGAAAAUAUAUUCUCUCUUGAGUGGAUCCUGAGUACGACGGAGCACGUGAAAUUCCGUCGGAAUCUGGGAGGACCAUCUCCUAAGGCUAAAUACUCUCUAGUGACCGAUAGUGAACCAGUACCGUGAGGGAAAGGUGAAAAGUACCCCGGAAGGGGAGUGAAAGAGAACUUGAAACCGUGUGCUUACAAGUAGUCAGAGCCCGUUAAUGGGUGAUGGCGUGCCUUUUGUAGAAUGAACCGGCGAGUUACGAUCUGAUGCAAGGUUAAGCAGGAGAUGUGGAGCCGUAGCGAAAGCGAGUCUGAAUAGGGCGUUGAGUAUUUGGUCGUAGACCCGAAACCAGGUGAUCUACCCAUGGUCAGGUUGAAGUUCAGGUAACACUGAAUGGAGGACCGAACCGACUUACGUUGAAAAGUGAGCGGAUGAACUGUGGGUAGCGGAGAAAUUCCAAUCGAACUUGGAGAUAGCUGGUUCUCUCCGAAAUAGCUUUAGGGCUAGCCUCAAGUGAUGAUUAUUGGAGGUAGAGCACUGUUUGGACGAGGGGCCCCUCUCGGGUUACCGAAUUCAGACAAACUCCGAAUGCCAAUUAAUUUAACUUGGGAGUCAGAACAUGGGUGAUAAGGUCCGUGUUCGAAAGGGAAACAGCCCAGACCACCAGCUAAGGUCCCAAAAUAUAUGUUAAGUGGAAAAGGAUGUGGCGUUGCCCAGACAACUAGGAUGUUGGCUUAGAAGCAGCCAUCAUUUAAAGAGUGCGUAAUAGCUCACUAGUCGAGUGACACUGCGCCGAAAAUGUACCGGGGCUAAACAUAUUACCGAAGCUGUGGAUUGUCCGUAGGACAAUGGUAGGAGAGCGUUCUAAGGGCGUUGAAGCAUGAUCGCAAGGACAUGUGGAGCGCUUAGAAGUGAGAAUGCCGGUGUGAGUAGCGAAAGACGGGUGAGAAUCCCGUCCACCGAUUGACUAAGGUUUCCAGAGGAAGGCUCGUCCGCUCUGGGUUAGUCGGGUCCUAAGCUGAGGCCGACAGGCGUAGGCGAUGGAUAACAGGUUGAUAUUCCUGUACCACCUAGCAUCGUUUUAAUCGAUGGGGGGACGCAGUAGGAUAGGCGAAGCGUACGAUUGGAUUGUACGUCCAAGCAGUGAGAUUGAGUGUUAGGCAAAUCCGGCACUCUUAAGAUUGAGCUGUGAUGGGGAGAGGAAAUUGUUUCCUCGAGUCGUUGAUUUCACACUGCCGAGAAAAGCCUCUAGAUAGAUAAUAGGUGCCCGUACCGCAAACCGACACAGGUAGUCAAGAUGAGAAUUCUAAGGUGAGCGAGCGAACUCUCGUUAAGGAACUCGGCAAAAUGACCCCGUAACUUCGGGAGAAGGGGUGCUCUUUAGGGUGCAAGCCCAGAAGAGCCGCAGUGAAUAGGCCCAAGCGACUGUUUAUCAAAAACACAGGUCUCUGCUAAACCGUAAGGUGAUGUAUAGGGGCUGACGCCUGCCCGGUGCUGGAAGGUUAAGAGGAGUAGUUAGCUUCUGCGAAGCUACGAAUCGAAGCCCCAGUAAACGGCGGCCGUAACUAUAACGGUCCUAAGGUAGCGAAAUUCCUUGUCGGGUAAGUUCCGACCCGCACGAAAGGCGUAACGAUUUGGGCACUGUCUCAACGAGAGACUCGGUGAAAUCAUAGUACCUGUGAAGAUGCAGGUUACCCGCGACAGGACGGAAAGACCCCGUGGAGCUUUACUGUAGCCUGAUAUUGAAAUUCGGCACAGCUUGUACAGGAUAGGUAGGAGCCUUUGAAACGUGAGCGCUAGCUUACGUGGAGGCGCUGGUGGGAUACUACCCUAGCUGUGUUGGCUUUCUAACCCGCACCACUUAUCGUGGUGGGAGACAGUGUCAGGCGGGCAGUUUGACUGGGGCGGUCGCCUCCUAAAAGGUAACGGAGGCGCUCAAAGGUUCCCUCAGAAUGGUUGGAAAUCAUUCAUAGAGUGUAAAGGCAUAAGGGAGCUUGACUGCGAGACCUACAAGUCGAGCAGGGUCGAAAGACGGACUUAGUGAUCCGGUGGUUCCGCAUGGAAGGGCCAUCGCUCAACGGAUAAAAGCUACCCCGGGGAUAACAGGCUUAUCUCCCCCAAGAGUUCACAUCGACGGGGAGGUUUGGCACCUCGAUGUCGGCUCAUCGCAUCCUGGGGCUGUAGUCGGUCCCAAGGGUUGGGCUGUUCGCCCAUUAAAGCGGUACGCGAGCUGGGUUCAGAACGUCGUGAGACAGUUCGGUCCCUAUCCGUCGUGGGCGUAGGAAAUUUGAGAGGAGCUGUCCUUAGUACGAGAGGACCGGGAUGGACAUACCUCUGGUGUACCAGUUGUCGUGCCAACGGCAUAGCUGGGUAGCUAUGUAUGGACGGGAUAAGUGCUGAAAGCAUCUAAGCAUGAAGCCCCCCUCAAGAUGAGAUUUCCCAACUUCGGUUAUAAGAUCCCUCAAAGAUGAUGAGGUUAAUAGGUUCGAGGUGGAAGCGUGGUGACACGUGGAGCUGACGAAUACUAAUCGAUCGAAGACUUAAUCAAUUU